Molecule: ribosomal RNA, 616 nt
Filed under: Plasmoverna anemones-ranunculoides
Lineage: Eukaryota; Oomycota; Peronosporomycetes; Peronosporales; Peronosporaceae
Description: LSU rRNA
Rfam family: Eukaryotic large subunit ribosomal RNA
Source: RNAcentral
GCUUGUGAGUGGGAUUGCGUUUCUGUGUGCGCCGUGUGCGGAUAGCUUGCUAUGCGUGUGUGGCUGUAUAUGGAUUGAUGCGAGCCUUAACUUAUUGCCGUUCGGGACGUUGACGAAAUGGAGCGAUUUGACCCGUCUUGAAACACGGACCAAGGAGUCUAACAUGUGUGCAAGUGUUAGGGUGUGGAAACCCAAGCGCGUAAUGAAAGUAAAGGACAGCGUAAGUUGUCUGAGGUAGGAAAUGCUGCGGACUUCGGUUUGCGGUGUGGCACUAUCGACCGAUCAUGAACCUUCGUGGUGAAAGAUUUGAGUUUGAGCACAUAUGUUGGUACCCGAAAGAUGGUGAACUAUGCCUGAGUAGGGUGAAGCCAGGGGAAACUCUGGUGGAAGCUCGUAGCGAUUCUGACGUGCAAAUCGAUCGUCAAACUUGGGUAUAGGGGCGAAAGACUAAUCGAACCAUCUAGUAGCUGGUUCCCUCCGAAAUUUCCCUCAGGAUAGCAGCAACUUAUUUUCGAUAGUUUUAUGAGGUAAAGCGAAUGAUUAGAGGAUUCGGGGAAGAAACUUUCUCGACCUAUUCUCAAACUUUAAAUCUGUAAGACCUGCAGGUUUCUUAAUU